CCUACGGGUGGCAGCAGUGAGGAAUCUUGGUCAAUGGGCGCGAGCCUGAACCAGCCAAGUAGCGUGAAGGAUGACUGCCCUACGGGUUGUAAACUUCUUUUAUAUGGGAAUAAAAUGUUUCACGUGUGGGAUUUUGUCUGUACCAUAUGAAUAAGAAUCGGCUAACUCCGUGCCAGCAGCCGCGGUAAUACGGAGGAUCCGAGCGUUAUCCGGAUUUAUUGGGUUUAAAGGGAGCGUAGGUGGAUUGUUAAGGCAGUUGUGAAAGUUUGCGGCUCAACCGUAAAAUUGCAGUUGAAACUGGCAGUAUGGAGUAAAGUAGAGGUGGGCGGAAUUCGGGGUGUAGCGGUGAAAUGCUUAGAUAUCACGAAGAACUCCGAGUGCGAAGGCAGUUCACUGGACUGCAACUGACACUGAGGCUCGAAAGUGUGGGUAUCAAACAGGAUUAGAUACCUAGUAGUC
Molecule: ribosomal RNA, 459 nt
Filed under: uncultured bacterium
Lineage: Bacteria
Description: partial 16S ribosomal RNA
Rfam family: Bacterial small subunit ribosomal RNA
Source: RNAcentral